UAAGACGAACCGUGCGAACGUUGUUCGGAAUCACUGGGCUUAAAGGGCGCGUAGGCGGGCCGGCCAGUCAGGGGUGAAAGCCCGCGGCUUAACCGCGGAAGCGCCUCUGAUACUGCCGGCCUGGAGGGGGGUAGGGGCGCGCGGAACUUCCGGUGGAGCGGUGAAAUGCGUAGAUAUCGGAAGGAACGCCGGUGGCGAAAGCGGCGCGCUGGACCCCGCCUGACGCUGAGGCGCGAAAGCCAGGGGAGCGAACGGGAUUAGAUACCCCGGUAGUCCUGGCCCUAAACGAUGGGUACUAGGUAGCGGGCUUCCAUGGGCUCGCUGCCGGAGCAAAAGUUAUAAGUACCCCGCCUGGGGAGUAUGGUCGCAAGGCUG
This 375-nucleotide ribosomal RNA is filed under the name uncultured bacterium. RNAcentral's name for it is "bacterial SSU rRNA". It matches the Rfam family "Bacterial small subunit ribosomal RNA", at positions 521 to 896 of the family's 1533-position model. The record is from RNAcentral.